RNAcentral lists this ribosomal RNA (583 nucleotides) under Pseudomonas sp. StFLB059. RNAcentral describes it as "bacterial SSU rRNA". It matches the Rfam family "Bacterial small subunit ribosomal RNA", at positions 102 to 681 of the family's 1533-position model. The record is from RNAcentral. Lineage: Bacteria; Pseudomonadati; Pseudomonadota; Gammaproteobacteria; Pseudomonadales; Pseudomonadaceae.
ACGGGUGAGUAAUGCCUAGGAAUCUGCCUGGUAGUGGGGGACAACGUUUCGAAAGGAACGCUAAUACCGCAUACGUCCUACGGGAGAAAGCAGGGGACCUUCGGGCCUUGCGCUAUCAGAUGAGCCUAGGUCGGAUUAGCUUGUUGGUGAGGUAAUGGCUCACCAAGGCGACGAUCCGUAACUGGUCUGAGAGGAUGAUCAGUCACACUGGAACUGAGACACGGUCCAGACUCCUACGGGAGGCAGCAGUGGGGAAUAUUGGACAAUGGGCGAAAGCCUGAUCCAGCCAUGCCGCGUGUGUGAAGAAGGUCUUCGGAUUGUAAAGCACUUUAAGUUGGGAGGAAGGGUUGUAGAUUAAUACUCUGCAAUUUUGACGUUACCGACAGAAUAAGCACCGGCUAACUCUGUGCCAGCAGCCGCGGUAAUACAGAGGGUGCAAGCGUUAAUCGGAAUUACUGGGCGUAAAGCGCGCGUAGGUGGUUUGUUAAGUUGGAUGUGAAAGCCCCGGGCUCAACCUGGGAACUGCAUCCAAAACUGGCAAGCUAGAGUACGGUAGAGGGUGGUGGAAUUUCCUGUGUAGCGG